Camelus ferus (Wild Bactrian camel) is the source of this 73-nucleotide non-coding RNA. The record is from Rfam. NCBI's taxonomy places the organism in Eukaryota, Metazoa, Chordata, Mammalia, Artiodactyla, Camelidae.
GGAGAGUAGAGCUCAGUAGUAGAGCACGUGCUUAGCAUCCACAGGGUGCUGGGUUCAAUCCCCAGUACCUCCA